This is a non-coding RNA of Triticum aestivum (bread wheat), 136 nucleotides long. The record is from Rfam. NCBI's taxonomy places the organism in Eukaryota, Viridiplantae, Streptophyta, Magnoliopsida, Poales, Poaceae.
ACCGAUUCCUGAGGAUGACUAGUGUUCCUUGCAGUAAUUAGUCUCGGACACUACAAGCUAUUCUCUGAUGUGUGGUAAAUCCUGUUUAGUGGCGUUCUCUGUGCCAGCUUAUAUCUUGGAAACGCCUCAUGUUAUU